UACGGAAGGGGCAAGCGUUGUUCGGAAUCAUUGGGCGUAAAGGGCGCGUAGGUGGUCCUGUAUGUCUACCGUGAAAGCACACGGCUCAACCGUGUUACGUCGGUGGAAACUGCAGGACUUGAGGCUGGGAGGGGCUGGUGGAAUUCCCUGUGUAGCGGUGAAAUGCGUAGAGAUGGGGGAGAACACUCGUGGCGAAGGCGGCCAGCUAGACCAGCUCUGACACUGAGGCGCGACAGCGUGGGGAGCAAACAGG
RNAcentral lists this ribosomal RNA (253 nucleotides) under uncultured bacterium. Its description in RNAcentral is "partial 16S ribosomal RNA". It matches the Rfam family "Bacterial small subunit ribosomal RNA", at positions 524 to 776 of the family's 1533-position model. The record is from RNAcentral.